RNAcentral lists this non-coding RNA (28 nucleotides) under Rattus norvegicus (Norway rat). Lineage: Eukaryota; Metazoa; Chordata; Mammalia; Rodentia; Muridae. The record is from RNAcentral.
UCCAACCCUACCCUGGACAGUGGAAAAG